RNAcentral lists this ribosomal RNA (433 nucleotides) under uncultured bacterium. RNAcentral describes it as "partial 16S ribosomal RNA". It matches the Rfam family "Bacterial small subunit ribosomal RNA", at positions 29 to 507 of the family's 1533-position model. The record is from RNAcentral.
AACGGACGCUGGCGGCAUGCCUAACACAUGCAAGUCGAACGAGACCUUCGGGUCUCGUGGCGCACGGGUGCGUAACGCGUGGGAACCUGCCCUUAGGUUCGGAAUAACUCCCCGAAAGGGGUGCUAAUACCGGAUAAUGUCUUCGGACCAAAGAUUGAUCGCCUUUGGAUGUGCCCGCGUUGGAUUAGCUAGUUGGUAGGGUAAAAGCCUACCAAGGCGACGCUCCAUAGCUGGUCUGAGAGGAUGAGCAGCCACACUGGGACUGAGACACGGCCCAGACUCGUACGGGAGGCAGCAGUGGGGAAUAUUGGACAAUGGGCGAAAGCCUGAGGCAGCCAUGCCGCGUGAGUGAUGAAGGCCUUAGGGUUGUAAAGCUCUUUUACCCGGGAUGAUAAUGACGGUACCGGGAGAAGAAGCACCGGCUAACUCCGUG